This is a non-coding RNA of Zygosaccharomyces bailii CLIB 213, 72 nucleotides long. The record is from Rfam. Lineage: Eukaryota; Fungi; Ascomycota; Saccharomycetes; Saccharomycetales; Saccharomycetaceae.
GCGCGAGUGGUUUAGUGGUAANAAUUCAACAUUCCCAUUGUUGAGCCCCGGGUUCGAUUCCCGGCUCGCGCA